Long non-coding RNA from Grammomys surdaster, 624 nucleotides. RefSeq lists it as uncharacterized. The transcript is spliced from 3 exons. The record is from RefSeq and is a predicted model, not a curated record. Lineage: Eukaryota; Metazoa; Chordata; Mammalia; Rodentia; Muridae.
GUGACCCUAGGAGUAACAGUCAGAGAGCACAACUUUCUGGAACGUUCCCCUCAUCUUCACAACUUUAGAUUCUGGAGGCAAGCUCCGUGUUCCUCCCCCAAAUUGAAAAGUAUUUCCCCCCGACGACACCUUCGUUCCCACCGGAGGUCCACAAGGGCCACAGUGUGUGCGGAGACCGCUCUGCAGGGAUGUCACCAGGCCCACAGGCGUGUCUCUUAAAUAUGGAAAUAUAUAUAAUAAACUGCUGGCUAGAGGCUGAUUCCUGUUUAUAAGGCGGAUUUUGCACCUCUAUCCUGUUGUGGAAAACAAACACAACCAUUGGAGAAAACAGGCUAACUCAAAAGAGCUGCUGAAGGGCCCUAGGAGAGAGUCCUUGCUGAACUUUGCUCACCUCACCAGCCCUCCCUUAGCUGUAUAUGGAAUACUAUUGCUGAACUUUGCUCACCUCACCAGACCUCCCUUAGCUGUAUAUGGAAUACUAUCUGUGCGAUUUUCAUGUGGCAGAUCGCUGAAGCUGUUCGUGGGUCAAAGCGGAUCUAUGCAGUGGCAACCCUGACAUUCCAAAGGAGCAAAAGGCAUGGAGACCUCUGCCUGGCACUUCAAGAACGAGGGCAAGUUUACCGC